RNAcentral lists this ribosomal RNA (253 nucleotides) under uncultured bacterium. RNAcentral's name for it is "partial 16S ribosomal RNA". It matches the Rfam family "Bacterial small subunit ribosomal RNA", at positions 524 to 776 of the family's 1533-position model. The record is from RNAcentral.
GACGAACUGUCCUACCGUUGUUCGGAAUCACUGGGCUUAAAGGGCGCGUAGGCGGGCUUGCAAGUCUGUGGUGAAAUCCUCCAGCCCAACUGGAGAACUGCCGUGGAUACUGCGAGUCUCGAGGGAGGUAGGGGCGUGCGGAACAGAUGGUGGAGCGGUGAAAUGCGUUGAUAUCAUCUGGAACUCCGGUGGCGAAGGCGGCACGCUGGACCUCAUCUGACGCUGAGGCGCGAAAGCUAGGGGAGCAAACGGG